CCCGCUAGGAAAGACAUCACUCGCAGAAGAAGCACCGGCUAACUCCGUGCCAGCAGCCGCGGUAAUACGGAGGGUGCAAGCGUUAAUCGGAAUUACUGGGCGUAAAGCGCGCGUAGGUGGCUUGAUAAGCCGGUUGUGAAAGCCCCGGGCUCAACCUGGGAACGGCAUCCGGAACUGUCAAGCUAGAGUGCAGGAGAGGAAGGUAGAAUUCCCGGUGUAGCGGUGAAAUGCGUAGAGAUCGGGAGGAAUACCAGUGGCGAAGGCGGCCUUCUGGACUGACACUGACACUGAGGUGCGAAAGCGUGGGUAGCAAACAGGAUUAGAUACCCUGGUAGUCCACGCCGUAAACGAUGUCGACCAGCCGUUGGGUGCCUAGCGCACUUUGUGGCGAAGUUAACGCGAUAAGUCGACCGCCUGGGGAGUACGGCCGCAAGGUUAAAACUCAAAUGAAUUGACGGGGGCCCGCACAAGCGGUGGAGCAUGUGGUUUAAUUCGAUGCAACGCGAAGAACCUUACCUACUCUUGACAUCCUGCGAAUUCGGUAGAGAUACCUUAGUGCCUUCGGGAACGCAGAGACAGGUGCUGCAUGGCUGUCGUCAGCUCGUGUUGUGAAAUGUUGGGUUAAGUCCCGUAACGAGCGCAACCCUUGUCCUUAUUUGCCAGCGCGUAAUGGCGGGAACUCUAAGGAGACUGCCGGUGACAAACCGGAGGAAGGUGGGGACGACGUCAAGUCAUCAUGGCCCUUACGAGUAGGGCUACACACGUGCUACAAUGGUCGGUACAAAGGGUUGCGAGCUCGCGAGAGUCAGCCAAUCCCGAAAAGCCGAUCUCAGUCCGGAUCGGAGUCUGCAACUCGACUCCGUGAAGUCGGAAUCGCUAGUAAUCGUAGAUCAGAAUGCUACGGUGAAUACGUUCCCGGGCCUUGUACACACCGCCCGUCACACCAUGGGAGUGGACUGCACCAGAAGUGGUUAGCCUAACGCAAGAGGGCGAUCACCACGG
RNAcentral lists this ribosomal RNA (1002 nucleotides) under Vreelandella aquamarina. Its description in RNAcentral is "bacterial SSU rRNA". It matches the Rfam family "Bacterial small subunit ribosomal RNA", at positions 459 to 1462 of the family's 1533-position model. The record is from RNAcentral. Lineage: Bacteria; Pseudomonadati; Pseudomonadota; Gammaproteobacteria; Oceanospirillales; Halomonadaceae.